RNAcentral lists this ribosomal RNA (368 nucleotides) under uncultured organism. Its description in RNAcentral is "bacterial LSU rRNA". It matches the Rfam family "Bacterial large subunit ribosomal RNA", at positions 2099 to 2465 of the family's 2925-position model. The record is from RNAcentral.
CUUUACUGUAGCUUUGCAUUGGACUUUGAAUCGGUCUGUGUAGGAUAGGUGGGAGGCUGUGAAACCGGGACGCUAGUUUCGGCGGAGCCAACCUUGAAAUACCACCCUGAUUUAUUUGAGGUUCUAACCUUGAUCCGUGAAUCCGGAUCGGGGACCGUGCAUGGUGGGCAGUUUGACUGGGGCGGUCUCCUCCCAAAAGGUAACGGAGGAGUACGAAGGUACGCUUAGGGCGGUCGGACAUCGCCCAUAAAGUGCAAUGGCAAAAGCGUGCUUGACUGCGAGACCCACAAGUCGAGCAGGUGCGAAAGCAGGUCAUAGUGAUCCGGUGGUUCUGUAUGGAAGGGCCAUCGCUCAACGGAUAAAAGGUA